AUUGGAUAAAGGAAAUUCUUCUCCAUUUUUUUUUAAUGUUUAACUGGUAGUAGUUUAUUCGAUAUUGGAUAAAGGAAAUUGGGUUUCUCCAGCAAUGGAUAGGCUCUCCGGUUUUUCACUUUACUUUUGUAUCCAAGUUGGAUGCAAGAACUUCCACUCUUGUUUUAAGCUUUUCAUAGUGGAAUAAGCCUAUGCUUCCUCAGUUCUCUGUUUUCAAGGUGUUUCCCUCGUUUUCUUCAGUUGACGCCUUAACAUUAGUGAAUGUUAUGUAAUGAAAGUCUUCAUUGAAAUAUAUUACCUACCUGCAGUCUACUUGCUAGGUUGAAGUGGUUGCAUAUCAGUUAUUGGAAAUUAGGCAACGGAGAAAAGACUGUAGAUUUUUUCAGAACUAUUUGGUUCUAGGAUGUUAAUUUUCCUCCUCCUCUGGUCAUUUAUGGUGGUGAGGUUGCAGGCCCGCUAAAAUGGAGAUGGGUCUUGGUCCUCUAAGAAAGCCUUUAUUUUAGACGCUUUAGGUCUUUUCUAUAAAGCAAAUAUUGCAUUGUUUAAGCAUCUUAGAUGAUAAUUCUUGUGAAGCCUGUAAUAUGGAUACACAUGCAUACAUAUAGAAGAAGAGACUAUUAUGUUUGGGAAACUGAUUAAGUAGGCCGCUAUUACUGUAGAUAAUUUAGCAGCAAAAGAUACAUCAAGAUCCAUUAAUGGUUUCAAUCUUGACCACUGUAAUGUAAGGACCUUCUUCCAUUUUCUGGGCAAUAGUCAAUAUUUGGUCUAGCUCUGGCAUAUUACUCUCUUGUUUAUGGCAAUUUUUCUAAUGUAGGCUCAUUUCUUUCUUUGCCAAAUUAAAUUUACCUGUAACAAGAAUGUGCUUUGUAGUUUUUGCCGGUUAGAUUAGUUAAUAGAUUGGUCCAAACCGGGAUCUUUCACCUGCACUAAAAAACUAUUUUUAAAUUGUCACAGAAAAAAAAAUGAAGCAAAAAACACAAAAUCUGGAAAGGUUUUACAAUAACAAUAAUCUGCUUGGGGGGUUACUGUUUCUUAUCAUGCGCCACUGAAUGGAUCAGGAGUAAUUGUUAUUUACAGUGUGCUUAUACUUUCAAUGUUUGGUGUGAUUGCAAAUUCUCAAAUCAUGCCCAUUUUCCACAGAAUAAUCGAAUAUUUUUUAUUGUGAUUGUUAUCCGUACAGCUUCUUUUUACCUUGUCAAUUCUUCUCAUUUUGACAUCUAUCUUAUUCCUGUAGUUUUUGCUGGUUAGAUUAGUUAAUAGAUUGGUCCAAACCGGGAUCUUUCACCUGCACUAAAAAACUAUUAUAUAUUUUUGUUAUCUUUUUCACAGUGUGGUGUUUCAGCCUCUGAUUUCUUGUUUGAACUUAUUGUUUGAUUUCUGGAAACUGAAAUGAUGGAAGCUGAAGUGUUCCCUCUGUCUCUCUCAGACUUCUUUCAGUUCUUGGAUUUAAGUCCACUUUAAUUUUCCUCAGGUUGCAUACAAAAAAUUGAAACAUCAGCACCAACCUUAUUCUGUCAAACUCAUUAUAUUACUGCUUUUUAUGCAUGAUUAAGUUGAAAUGGUCAUUGCUCUUGUGAAAUAUGUGACUUAAAGCAUUGACAACA
RNAcentral lists this long non-coding RNA (1604 nucleotides) under Populus trichocarpa (black cottonwood). RNAcentral's name for it is "long non-coding RNA (PTRI_LNC002262)". Lineage: Eukaryota; Viridiplantae; Streptophyta; Magnoliopsida; Malpighiales; Salicaceae. The record is from RNAcentral.